AUGCAUUCACAUAUAGAUAGCUUAUUUGCAUUGUUCUAUAUAUUUUGUAGUCUCAAUGAUGAUGCAUACAUGUCAACUAUGGGUGUUGGCUCUAACAAUUCGCAUUGGUCUCAAACCAAUGACAUGCACUUUGAGGACCAUGAGUUCGAGGUGGACGAGGAUGGUGAGGGCAUUGUCGACGCACCGAAAGGAAGAGCAGGCAACUACACCAACGCAGAAGACAUCUUACUAUGCAAUACUUGGUUGCAAGUGUCGAGGGAUCCAUCCGUUGGAGGUGAUCAAAGUAGAGAUGCUUAUUGGGACCGGAUGAAGGAACACUUUGAUGUUCGCAACGUGAGUGGAAUUGACCGCUCUGAACGAUCUCUUCGGUCCCGGUGGUCGACAAUCAACAAGGAUUGUCAAAAGUGGGCGGCCGCACAAAAGGCGGUUGACAAGUUGAACCCAAGUGGCACCAAUGAGGACGAUAGAGUAAGUGGCAUUUCAUUCAUGUUCAUCCAUGUUCAUCAUACUUGUUGUUGGUGUUUGAAGUGCUAA
RNAcentral lists this ribosomal RNA (534 nucleotides) under Triticum aestivum (bread wheat). RNAcentral's name for it is "partial small subunit ribosomal RNA". Lineage: Eukaryota; Viridiplantae; Streptophyta; Magnoliopsida; Poales; Poaceae. The record is from RNAcentral.